This 478-nucleotide ribosomal RNA is filed under the name Escherichia coli. RNAcentral's name for it is "bacterial SSU rRNA". It matches the Rfam family "Bacterial small subunit ribosomal RNA", at positions 30 to 497 of the family's 1533-position model. The record is from RNAcentral. Lineage: Bacteria; Pseudomonadati; Pseudomonadota; Gammaproteobacteria; Enterobacterales; Enterobacteriaceae.
AUUGAACGCUGGCGGCAGGCCUAACACAUGCAAGUCGAACGGUAACAGGAAACAGCUUGCUGUUUCGCUGACGAGUGGCGGACGGGUGAGUAAUGUCUGGGAAACUGCCUGAUGGAGGGGGAUAACUACUGGAAACGGUAGCUAAUACCGCAUAACGUCGCAAGACCAAAGAGGGGGACCUUCGGGCCUCUUGCCAUCGGAUGUGCCCAGAUGGGAUUAGCUAGUAGGUGGGGUAACGGCUCACCUAGGCGACGAUCCCUAGCUGGUCUGAGAGGAUGACCAGCCACACUGGAACUGAGACACGGUCCAGACUCCUACGGGAGGCAGCAGUGGGGAAUAUUGCACAAUGGGCGCAAGCCUGAUGCAGCCAUGCCGCGUGUAUGAAGAAGGCCUUAGGGUUGUAAAGUACUUUCAGCGGGGAGGAAGGUGAUAAGGUUAAUACCCUUGUCAAUUGACGUACCCGCAGAAGAGCACCGCA